RNAcentral lists this ribosomal RNA (253 nucleotides) under uncultured bacterium. RNAcentral describes it as "partial 16S ribosomal RNA". It matches the Rfam family "Bacterial small subunit ribosomal RNA", at positions 524 to 776 of the family's 1533-position model. The record is from RNAcentral.
UACGUAGGGCGCAAGCGUUGUCCGGAAUUAUUGGGCGUAAAGAGCUCGUAGGCGGUUUGGCGCGUCUGCUGUGAAAACCUAAGGCUCAACCUUGGGCUUGCAGUGGGUACGGGCAGACUAGAGUGCGGUAGGGGUGACUGGAAUUCAUGGUGUAGGGGUGAAAUGCGUAGAUAUCAUGAGGAACAUCUGUGGCGAAGGCGAAUCUCUGGCUCGUUUCUGACACUGAGACGCGAAAGCGUGGGGAGCAAACAGG